UACAGAGGGUGCAAGCGUUAAUCGGAAUUACUGGGCGUAAAGGGCGCGUAGGCGGUUUAUUAAGUUAGGUGUGAAAUGCUCGGGCUUAACCUGAGACGUGCACUUAAUACUGGUGAGCUAGAGUAGAGUAGAGGCAAGCGGAACUCCGGGUGUAGCGGUGGAAUGCGUAGAGAUCCGGAAGAACACCGGAGGCGAAGGCGGCUUGCUGGGCGUGAUCUGACGCUGAGGCGCGAAAGCGUGGGGAGCGAACAGG
This 253-nucleotide ribosomal RNA is filed under the name uncultured bacterium. Its description in RNAcentral is "partial 16S ribosomal RNA". It matches the Rfam family "Bacterial small subunit ribosomal RNA", at positions 524 to 776 of the family's 1533-position model. The record is from RNAcentral.